RNAcentral lists this ribosomal RNA (253 nucleotides) under uncultured bacterium. Its description in RNAcentral is "partial 16S ribosomal RNA". It matches the Rfam family "Bacterial small subunit ribosomal RNA", at positions 524 to 776 of the family's 1533-position model. The record is from RNAcentral.
UACGGAGGGUGCAAGCGUUAUCCGGAUUCACUGGGUUUAAAGGGUGUGUAGGCGGAUUUUUAAGUCAGUGGUGAAAUCUCCGGGCUCAACCCGGAAACUGCCAUUGAUACUAUUAGUCUUGAAUAUUGUGGAGGUAAGCGGAAUAUGUCAUGUAGCGGUGAAAUGCUUAGAUAUGACAUAGAACACCGAUAGCGAAGGCAGCUUGCUACACAAUUAUUGACACUGAGGCUCGAAAGCGUGGGGAUCAAACAGG